This 65-nucleotide transfer RNA is filed under the name Munidopsis lauensis. Its description in RNAcentral is "tRNA-Cys". The record is from RNAcentral. Lineage: Eukaryota; Metazoa; Arthropoda; Malacostraca; Decapoda; Munidopsidae.
AGCUUUGUAGUGGAAAAUAAGACGUUAGAUUGCAAAUCUGAAGAUGUAUGUUAUUACUGGAGCUU